GAUGAAGAACGUAGCGAAAUGCGAUAAGUAAUGUGAAUUGCAGAAUUCAGUGAAUCAUCGAAUCUUUGAACGCACCUUGCGCUCCUUGGUAUUCCGAGGAGCAUGCCUGUUUGAGUGUCAUGAAAUUCUCAACCUUUUCAGCUUUCUUUGUUGAUCAGGCUUGGAUGUGGGAGUAUGCGGGCUUCCCAGAAGUCGGCUCUCCUGAAAUGCAUUAGCGGGACCUUUGUUGCCUGGCUUUGGUGUGAUAAUUAUCUACGCCAUUGUAGUCAAGCAGCUUAAAAUGAGGUUUCAGCUUCUAACCGUCUCCCCUGAGACAACUUUUUGACAAUUUGACCUCAAAUCAGGUAGGACUACCCGCUGAACUUAAGCAUAUCAAUAAGCGGAGGA
This 387-nucleotide unclassified non-coding RNA is filed under the name soil metagenome. RNAcentral's name for it is "partial contains 5.8S ribosomal RNA, internal transcribed spacer 2, and large subunit ribosomal RNA". The stretch from base 1 to 120 matches the Rfam family "5.8S ribosomal RNA", at positions 35 to 154 of the family's 154-position model. The record is from RNAcentral.